Molecule: ribosomal RNA, 497 nt
Filed under: uncultured bacterium
Lineage: Bacteria
Description: partial 16S ribosomal RNA
Rfam family: Bacterial small subunit ribosomal RNA
Source: RNAcentral
GAUGAACGCUGGCGGCGUGCCUAAUACAUGCAAGUCGAGCGAACGGACGAGAAGCUUGCUUCUCUGAUGUUAGCGGCGGACGGGUGAGUAACACGUGGAUAACCUACCUAUAAGACUGGGAUAACUUCGGGAAACCGGAGCUAAUACCGGAUAAUAUUUUGAACCGCAUGGUUCAAAAGUGAAAGACGGUCUUGCUGUCACUUAUAGAUGGAUCCGCGCUGCAUUAGCUAGUUGGUAAGGUAACGGCUUACCAAGGCAACGAUGCAUAGCCGACCAGAGAGGGUGAUCGGCCACACUGGAACUGAGACACGGUCCAGACUCCUACGGGAGGCAGCAGUAGGGAAUCUUCCGCAAUGGGCGAAAGCCUGACGGAGCAACGCCGCGUGAGAGAUGAAGGUCUUCGGAUCGUAAAACUCUGUUAUUAGGGAAGAACAUAUGUGUAAGUAACUGUGCACAUCUUGACGGUACCUAAUCAGAAAGCCACGGCUAACUACGUG